RNAcentral lists this transfer-messenger RNA (342 nucleotides) under Aquificaceae. RNAcentral describes it as "Thermocrinis sp009903855 Standard tmRNA". It matches the Rfam family "transfer-messenger RNA". Rfam says of the family: Bacterial tmRNA, also known as 10Sa RNA or SsrA, is named for its dual tRNA and mRNA-like properties. Its role is to liberate the mRNA from a stalled ribosome. To accomplish this part of the tmRNA is used as a reading frame that ends in a translation stop signal. The record is from RNAcentral. RNAcentral also lists the same sequence under 1 other name. Lineage: Bacteria; Pseudomonadati; Aquificota; Aquificia; Aquificales.
GGGGGCGAACGGUUUCGACGGGGUUCGCAGGCUUAGGGAAGCAGGCAGGGUGGCAACCUUAACAGCCACUCAAAACACUUCCCGAGCGCGAACUCGCUCUCGCUGCCUAAUAUCCGCAGCGGCCCACUGAUGGCUUGGCGGGUGGGCUGUCAGAUGGGUUCAUAGACACCCGCUAGGAGGGAAGGAUUGGCGUGGUCCUCCCUCCGAAAGGGCACACGCCUCGCCAUCCCUUUGCUUGCCAGUGGGCGGGGGAUGGUUAAAGGAAAGCACUGGCUAAGCCUGUAGAAGCCCUAACAGCCGGGCGAACCUCGGACGAGGGUUCGAUUCCCUCCGCCUCCACCA